ACUGCCUGCCCAGUGACUAAAGUUAAACGGCCGCGGUAUCCUGACCGGCAAAGGUAGCAUAAUCACUUGUUCCUUAAUUAGGGACUAGCAUGAAUGGCUAAACGAGGGUUCAACUGUCUCUUAUUCUCAAUCAGUGAAAUUGACCUUCCAGUGAAGAGGCUGGAAUAAAAAAAUAAGACGAGAAGACCCUAUGGAGCUUGAAUUAACUAGCUUAAUUAAUAUAAUUUAACCUAAUGGGAUAACAAAAAAAAGGUAGGCUAGCAAUUUCGGUUGGGGUGACCUCGGAGAAUAAAAAAUCCUCCGAAUGAUUCUAGCAUAGAUUAACAAAUCAAAGCAAUAUUUAAAACUUAUUGACCCAAAUUUCUUUUGAUCAACGGACCAAGUUACCCUAGGGAUAACAGCGCAAUCCUAUUCAAGAGUUCAUAUCGACAAUAAGGGUUUACGACCUCGAUGUUGGAUCAGGACAUCCCAAUGGUGUAAAGCUAUUAAUGGUUCGUUUG
RNAcentral lists this ribosomal RNA (500 nucleotides) under Arvicanthis nairobae (Nairobi grass rat). RNAcentral describes it as "partial 16S ribosomal RNA". It matches the Rfam family "Bacterial large subunit ribosomal RNA", at positions 1854 to 2579 of the family's 2925-position model. Lineage: Eukaryota; Metazoa; Chordata; Mammalia; Rodentia; Muridae. The record is from RNAcentral.